AUUUUAAAGGAAGUUUUCGGAUGGAAUUUGAAAUGACUGAGCGGCGGACGGGUGAGUAACGCGUGGGUAACCUGCCUCAUACAGGGGGAUAACAGUUAGAAAUGACUGCUAAUACCGCAUAAGCGCACAGUACCGCAUGGUACGGUGUGAAAAACUCCGGUGGUGUGAGAUGGAUCCGCGUCUGAUUAGUUAGUUGGCGGGGUAACGGCCCACCAAGACAGCGAUCAGUAGCCGACCUGAGAGGGUGACCGGCCACAUUGGGACUGAGACACGGCCCAAACUCC
This 284-nucleotide ribosomal RNA is filed under the name uncultured Lachnospiraceae bacterium. RNAcentral describes it as "partial 16S ribosomal RNA". The stretch from base 46 to 284 matches the Rfam family "Bacterial small subunit ribosomal RNA", at positions 100 to 339 of the family's 1533-position model. Lineage: Bacteria; Bacillati; Bacillota; Clostridia; Lachnospirales; Lachnospiraceae. The record is from RNAcentral.